UACGUAGGGUGCGAGCGUUUGUGUCCGGGAAUUAUUGGGCGGUUAAAGAGCUUGUAGGCGGUUUGUCGCGUCUGCUGUGAAAAUCCGGGGCUCAAACCCCGGACUUGCAGUGGAGUACGGGUAGACUAGAGGGCAGGUAGGGGAGAAUGGAAUUCCCGGUGUAGCGGUGAAAUGCGCAGAUAUCGGGAGGAACACCGGUGGCGAAGGCG
RNAcentral lists this ribosomal RNA (209 nucleotides) under uncultured bacterium. Its description in RNAcentral is "partial 16S ribosomal RNA". It matches the Rfam family "Bacterial small subunit ribosomal RNA", at positions 524 to 723 of the family's 1533-position model. The record is from RNAcentral.